Molecule: ribosomal RNA, 253 nt
Filed under: uncultured prokaryote
Description: partial 16S ribosomal RNA
Rfam family: Bacterial small subunit ribosomal RNA
Source: RNAcentral
UACGUAGGGUGCGAGCGUUAAUCGGAAUUACUGGGCGUAAAGCGUGCGCAGGCGGUUCGCCAAGUCAGAUGUGAAAUCCCCGGGCUCAACCUGGGACCUGCAUUUGUGACUGCAUCGCUGGAGUACGGCAGAGGGGGAUGGAAUUCCGCGUGUAGCAGUGAAAUGCGUAGAUAUGCGGAGGAACACCGAUGGCGAAGGCAAUCCCCUGGGCCUGUACUGACGCUCAUGCACGAAAGCGUGGGGAGCAAACAGG